This 216-nucleotide ribosomal RNA is filed under the name Triticum aestivum (bread wheat). Its description in RNAcentral is "partial small subunit ribosomal RNA". The record is from RNAcentral. Lineage: Eukaryota; Viridiplantae; Streptophyta; Magnoliopsida; Poales; Poaceae.
AUGACCUUGUUGGCGACGAGCGUCUUGCCGGACUCGUUGCGGAUGCGGAUGGAGAAGGGCGCCUGGAGGCGGUGGUUGGAGUCGAGGCGCCAGACGGAGCCCCACGACUCCCUCAUCCUCGUCCACUUGCCGCCGCCCGGCCCCCGCGACUCCAUGAGGUCCACCUGCACCACGUCGCCGUCGCCGUCCUCGUACUCCACCAGCACCGCGAAGUAG